This is a long non-coding RNA of Sapajus apella (tufted capuchin), 169 nucleotides long. RefSeq lists it as uncharacterized. Lineage: Eukaryota; Metazoa; Chordata; Mammalia; Primates; Cebidae. The record is from RefSeq and is a predicted model, not a curated record. The transcript is spliced from 3 exons.
CUUGUACCUCAGGUAGAAUCUGGUUGUAAAUCCAUAUGGUCCAAUGGGCUUUUUUUGGUUAUUAGGUUCUUUAUUGCUGCCUCAGUUUUAGAAUUUGUUAUUGGUCUAUUCAGGAAUUCUACUUCUUCCUAGUUUAUUCUUGUGAGGAUGUGUUUGUCCAGGAAUUUAU